RNAcentral lists this ribosomal RNA (465 nucleotides) under uncultured Klebsiella sp. Its description in RNAcentral is "bacterial SSU rRNA". It matches the Rfam family "Bacterial small subunit ribosomal RNA", at positions 338 to 795 of the family's 1533-position model. The record is from RNAcentral. Lineage: Bacteria; Pseudomonadati; Pseudomonadota; Gammaproteobacteria; Enterobacterales; Enterobacteriaceae.
CCUACGGGCGGCUGCAGUGGGGAAUAUUGCACAAUGGGCGCAAGCCUGAUGCAGCCAUGCCGCGUGUGUGAAGAAGGCCUUCGGGUUGUAAAGCACUUCCAGCGGGGAGGAAGGCGUUAAGGUUAAUAACCUUGGCGAUUGACGUUACCCGCAGAAGAAGCACCGGCUAACUCCGUGCCAGCAGCCGCGGUAAUACGGAGGGUGCAAGCGUUAAUCGGAAUUACUGGGCGUAAAGCGCACGCAGGCGGUCUGUCAAGUCGGAUGUGAAAUCCCCGGGCUCAACCUGGGAACUGCAUUCGAAACUGGCAGGCUAGAGUCUUGUAGAGGGGGGUAGAAUUCCAGGUGUAGCGGUGAAAUGCGUAGAGAUCUGGAGGAAUACCGGUGGCGAAGGCGGCCCCCUGGACAGAGACUGACGCUCAGGUGCGAAAGCGUGGGGAGCAAACAGGAUUAGAUACCCCAGUAGUC